UUUACCCCCUUAGGUCUGCGAAAGAUGUGAACUUCCUAUUCUCGAUGAAGCGGUGCAUAUAAACCAUAAGUUCUAUCACUUCAGCUGCAUAGUAUGUGGAAGAUUUGCAAAUUCCAAAUCAAGCAAGUCCUCCAAAUCCUAAAAAACCAUGGAGUUAAUGUUGAACACAUAAAGGAAUUUCUCUGGAGCAGAGAUGAAAUGUUUUCAAGUGGAUUUUCAUAUACUUUCAUAAUCUAAUAAAAUUAAAAAAGGUUUUUCAUUGUAA
This is a long non-coding RNA of Stegodyphus dumicola, 265 nucleotides long. The record is from RefSeq and is a predicted model, not a curated record. Lineage: Eukaryota; Metazoa; Arthropoda; Arachnida; Araneae; Eresidae.